AGCGAACGCUGGCGGCAGGCCUAACACAUGCAAGUCGAACGAACCUUUCGGGGUUAGUGGCGGACGGGUGAGUAACACGUGGGAACGUGCCUUUAGGUUCGGUAUCACUCAGGGAAACUUGUGCUAAUACCGAAUGUGCCCUUCGGGGGUAAGAUUUAUCGCCUUUAGAGCGGCCCGCGUCUGAUUAGCUAGUUGGUUGAGGUAAUGGCUCACCAAGGCGACGAUCAGUAGCUGGUCUGUGAGGAUGAUCAGCCACAUUGGGACUGAGACACGGCCCAAACUCCUACGGGAGGGAGCAGUGGGGAAUCUUGCGCAAUGGGCGAAAGCCUGACGCAGCCAUGCCGCGGGAAUGAGGAAGGUCUUAGGAUUGUAAAAUUCUUUCACCGGGGACGAUAAUGACGGUACCCGGAGAAGAAGCCCCGGCUAACUACGUG
Molecule: ribosomal RNA, 434 nt
Filed under: uncultured bacterium
Lineage: Bacteria
Description: partial 16S ribosomal RNA
Rfam family: Bacterial small subunit ribosomal RNA
Source: RNAcentral